AUGCAUGUAUAAGUACAUACUUACACAUAGUGAAACCGCGAAUGGCUCAUUAAAUCAGUUAUGGUUCCUUAGAUCGUAAAACUCCACUUGGAUAACUGUGGUAAUUCUAGAGCUAAUACAUGCAUCAAAACACUGACUUUUGGAAGUGUGCUUUUAUUAGAUCAAAACUAAUAUGAACUUCGGUUCAUUUGUUUGGUGACUCUGGAUAACUUUGGGCUGAUUGCAUGGCCUCGUGCCGGCAACGUAUCUUUCAAAUGUCUGCCCUAUCAACUUUCGAAGGUAGAUGAUAUGCCUACCUUGGUUGUAACGGGUAACGGGGAAUUAGGGUUCCAUUCCGGAGAGGGCGCAUGAGAAACGGCGACCACAUCCAAGGAAGGCAGCAGGCGCGCAAAUUACCCACUCCUGGAAUGGGGAGGUAGUGACGAAAAAUAACAAUAUGAAUCUCAUUUGAGGCUUCAUAAUUGGAAUGAGUACACUUUAAAUCCUUUAACGAGGAUCAAUUGGAGGGCAAGUCUGGUGCCAGCAGCCGCGGUAAUUCCAGCUCCAAUAGCGUAUAUUAAAGUUGUUGCAGUUAAAAAGCUCGUAGUUGGAUUUCUAGUCUUGACUUGCAGUUCGCCUAACGGCGUAACUGUUUGUUUGGACUUACCUCCCGGUUUUCUCUUGUUUCUCUUC
Molecule: ribosomal RNA, 672 nt
Filed under: Tomopteris helgolandica
Lineage: Eukaryota; Metazoa; Annelida; Polychaeta; Phyllodocida; Tomopteridae
Description: SSU rRNA
Rfam family: Eukaryotic small subunit ribosomal RNA
Source: RNAcentral